Poecilia latipinna (sailfin molly) is the source of this 265-nucleotide long non-coding RNA. RefSeq lists it as uncharacterized. The transcript is spliced from 2 exons. NCBI's taxonomy places the organism in Eukaryota, Metazoa, Chordata, Actinopteri, Cyprinodontiformes, Poeciliidae. The record is from RefSeq and is a predicted model, not a curated record.
AGCGCUUUGGAUCUGAUGGAGAACAUCGCCAGUGGAAGGAUUCAGGAGUCCUUCCACAGCAGAUCAGAGACUAUCCUGAUCUACUGGGAAAUGUUGAUGAAGGUUUUUUAGAGCUUAGAUUGCCCAGACUGAUCAUCACGGAGCUUUGAGCAAAACUUAAAGAAGGAGCCGUGCGGUACCGGUACCACUGCAGUCAUCCUUCAGUCGAGCCGCCCGCUUUGUGAAUGCGCCUUUAUGGACAGAAAGCAUCUCUAUUCUGUAAAUG